This is an unclassified non-coding RNA of Pogona vitticeps (central bearded dragon), 155 nucleotides long. NCBI's taxonomy places the organism in Eukaryota, Metazoa, Chordata, Lepidosauria, Squamata, Agamidae. The record is from Ensembl.
CUGGCGAGGCUGAAGAAACUGAAGUACUCUAUUUAUCCACCGGCCAGGUACGCUGGAAGCUCCUCCAGUGACCUCUGCCCUGCCCCCAUGAGGGACUGCCCUCUUCUGGGACAAUAGGUAAUUCGGUUUUCAUGCUACCCCAGUCCAGGGAUCUG